UACUGGGAAUAAGAGACUGAGGGCGCAGUCAUAAGGGGAACAUCUUAUUAGCCUUGCAGAAGAGAGCACUGAAGAAGAGGAAGCAGAAUUUAAGAGCCCGAGGAUGGGGAGGAGCCCCAUGAAGGACUGUCAUCUGGAUAUGAACAACAUGACCAUUGCACUUAGCACAUGCACAAGCUGUGAUCAUUUGCACAAGACCCAUUCAAGAUCAAGUCAAGGACACUCCCUGAAUAGGAGGUUCAGACUGCUGCAGUGAAAAUGUGGGUUAUCUCAACUCGGCCUACCUGGGAACUCUGCUGAGUUGUGGUGUCUGUCCUGCAUCUGAUCAACUGCUGGCUCCUUGCCCUCUCACGGUGGUCCAACUCCUUCCCUCUGUGAGGCCCCGCCAGCCUCUCUUCAAAAGGAACGCGAAAACAUUGCAGAGAAAAUGCCACCGAACAGCCCUACUCCCCUCACCCGGCCUGGCCCGGCAGUGACUGAGGCUUGAGCGCCUUAGCCCGUUCCCCCCUGGCUCCUGAGCUCUGCGUGUGUAAACUCUGCAUCCAUGAGAGUGUGUGUAGGCAGCUGGUCAAUGUCUGCUGGCCGAGAAGGCCGUAGAUCCCCUUCUCACAACUUGCCCAGGAGUGGUGAACUCAGUUUCCCUCAACAGUUUGCUCCUCGUCAGCUCCUCUAGAGGUCUUCUACGGUUUUGAUCCUCAUCUUUCUUUGAGCAGGGCAUUUAGUAAAGACUCAAAAUUGCCGUUCUCUCUAUCUGCAUG
Non-coding RNA from Myodes glareolus (Bank vole), 758 nucleotides. Lineage: Eukaryota; Metazoa; Chordata; Mammalia; Rodentia; Cricetidae. The record is from RefSeq and is a predicted model, not a curated record.